GCCUGGGUAGCUCAGUCAGUUGAGAGUCUGACUUUGGCUCAGAUUAUGAUCUCAUAGUUCAUGGGUUCGAGCCCCGCACCGGGCU
RNAcentral lists this transfer RNA (85 nucleotides) under Felis catus (domestic cat). It matches the Rfam family "tRNA". From Rfam's summary of the family: Transfer RNA (tRNA) molecules are approximately 80 nucleotides in length. Their secondary structure includes four short double-helical elements and three loops (D, anti-codon, and T loops). Further hydrogen bonds mediate the characteristic L-shaped molecular structure. tRNAs have two regions of fundamental functional importance: the anti-codon, which is responsible for specific mRNA codon recognition, and the 3' end, to which the tRNAs corresponding amino acid is attached (by aminoacyl-tRNA synthetases). tRNAs cope with the degeneracy of the genetic code in two manners: having more than one tRNA (with a specific anti-codon) for a particular amino acid; and 'wobble' base-pairing, i.e. permitting non-standard base-pairing at the 3rd anti-codon position. The record is from Rfam by way of RNAcentral. Lineage: Eukaryota; Metazoa; Chordata; Mammalia; Carnivora; Felidae.